GACGAACGCUGGCGGCGUGCCUAACACAUGCAAGUCGAGCGGAGUCAGUAAGAGGAAGUUUUCGGAUGGAAUCUUAUUGAUUUAGCGGCGGACGGGUGAGUAACGCGUGAGCGACCAACCUUGCACAGGGGGAUAACGGACCGAAAGGUUCACUAAUACCGCAUGAGACCACGGUGUUGCAUGACACAGGGGUCAAAGGAGCAAUCCGGUGCAAGACGGGCUCGCGUCCGAUUAGGUAGUUGGAGGGGUAACGGCCCACCAAGCCUAUGAUCGGUAGCCGACCUGAGAGGGUGAUCGGCCACAUUGAAACUGAGAUACGGUCCAAACUCCUACGGGAGGCAGCAGUGGGGAAUAUUGGGCAAUGGGGGAAACCCUGACCCAGCAACGCCGCGUGAAGGAAGAAGGUUUUCGGAUUGUAAACUUCUGUCCUUGGUGAGGAGAAGAAGACGGUAGCCAAGGAGGAAGCCCCGGCUAACUACGUGCCAGCAGCCGCUGUAA
RNAcentral lists this ribosomal RNA (498 nucleotides) under uncultured bacterium. RNAcentral describes it as "partial 16S ribosomal RNA". It matches the Rfam family "Bacterial small subunit ribosomal RNA", at positions 28 to 523 of the family's 1533-position model. The record is from RNAcentral.